UACGGAGGGUGCGAGCGUUAUCCGGAAUUACUGGGUUUAAAGGGUGUGUAGGCGGCUCGGUAAGUCAGGGGUGAAAGUUUGCGGCUCAACCGUAAAAUUGCUUUUGAUACUGCCGGGCUAGAAUCAGGAUGAGGUCAGCGGAAUGUGGCAUGUAGCGGUGAAAUGCAUAGAUAUGCCAUAGAACACCUAUUGCGAAGGCAGCUGGCUAGACCUGUAUUGACGCUGAGGCACGAAAGCGUGGGGAGCGAACAGG
This 253-nucleotide ribosomal RNA is filed under the name uncultured bacterium. RNAcentral's name for it is "partial 16S ribosomal RNA". It matches the Rfam family "Bacterial small subunit ribosomal RNA", at positions 524 to 776 of the family's 1533-position model. The record is from RNAcentral.